UGACAUCUAGGUGGUCAUGGUU
RNAcentral lists this microRNA (22 nucleotides) under Bombyx mori (domestic silkworm). RNAcentral's name for it is "bmo-miR-3280". Lineage: Eukaryota; Metazoa; Arthropoda; Insecta; Lepidoptera; Bombycidae. The record is from miRBase by way of RNAcentral.